UGACUCUGGGAUAAGCCUGGGAAACCGGGUCUAAUACCGGAUAUGACUGCCGGCCGCAUGGCCUGGUGGUGGAAAGCUUUAUUGCGGUUUUGGAUGGACUCGCGGCCUAUCAGCUUGUUGGCGGGGUAAUGGCCCACCAAGGCGACGACGGGUAGCCGGCCUGAGAGGGUGACCGGCCACACUGGGACUGAGACACGGCCCAGACUCCUACGGGAGGCAGCAGUGGGGAAUAUUGCACAAUGGGCGCAAGCCUGAUGCAGCGACGCCGCGUGAGGGAUGAAGGCCUUCGGGUUGUAAACCUCUUUCAGUAGGGAAGAAGCGAAAGUGACGGUACCUGCAGAAGAAGCGCCGGCUAACUACGUGCCAGCAGCCGCGGUAAUACGUAGGGCGCAAGCGUUAUCCGGAAUUAUUGGGCGUAAAGAGCUCGUAGGCGGUUUGUCGCGUCUGCCGUGAAAGUCCGGGGCUUAACUCCGGAUCUGCGGUGGGUACGGGCAGACUAGAGUGCAGUAGGGGAGACUGGAAUUCCUGGUGUAGCGGUGAAAUGCGCAGAUAUCAGGAGGAACACCGAUGGCGAAGGCAGGUCUCUGGGCUGUAACUGACGCUGAGGAGCGAAAGCAUGGGGAGCGAACAGGAUUAGAUACCCUGGUAGUCCAUGCCGUAAACGUUGGGCACUAGGUGUGGGGGACAUUCCACGUUUUCCGCGCCGUAGCUAACGCAUUAAGUGCCCCGCCUGGGGAGUACGGCCGCAAGGCUAAAACUCAAAGGAAUUGACGGGGGCCCGCACAAGCGGCGGAGCAUGCGGAUUAAUUCGAUGCAACGCGAAGAACCUUACCAAGGCUUGACAUGAACCGGAAUGGCGCAAAAAUGUGUCAGCCACUUGUGGCCGGUUUACAGGUGGUGCAUGGGU
This 907-nucleotide ribosomal RNA is filed under the name Arthrobacter sp. RNAcentral describes it as "bacterial SSU rRNA". It matches the Rfam family "Bacterial small subunit ribosomal RNA", at positions 133 to 1050 of the family's 1533-position model. The record is from RNAcentral. Lineage: Bacteria; Bacillati; Actinomycetota; Actinomycetes; Micrococcales; Micrococcaceae.